GAGGGUAUAGCUCAAGUGGCAGAGCACAUGCACGAGGUCCUGGGUUCAAUUCCCAGUGCCUCCU
Molecule: transfer RNA, 64 nt
Filed under: Camelus bactrianus (Bactrian camel)
Lineage: Eukaryota; Metazoa; Chordata; Mammalia; Artiodactyla; Camelidae
Also listed under: 2 other names
Rfam family: tRNA
About the family: Transfer RNA (tRNA) molecules are approximately 80 nucleotides in length. Their secondary structure includes four short double-helical elements and three loops (D, anti-codon, and T loops).
Source: Rfam by way of RNAcentral